This 24-nucleotide non-coding RNA is filed under the name Arabidopsis thaliana (thale cress). Lineage: Eukaryota; Viridiplantae; Streptophyta; Magnoliopsida; Brassicales; Brassicaceae. The record is from RNAcentral.
GAAUAUGAGGUGUACACAAUAGGU